GAACAACGCUGGCGGCGUGCCUAAUGCAUGCAAGUCGGACGGGAGCCCCUUCGGGGGUCGACCGUGGCGGACGGGUGAGGAGCACGUGGGGAACCUGCCCAAGCGCGGGGGAUAACCCCGGGAAACCGGGGGUAAGACCCCAUAGCCAUGCACGCUCGUGGGGUGUGCAUGCAAAAGCGUGAGCUGUGCUUGGAGGGUCCUGCGGCCUAUCAGCUGGUUGGUGGGGUAACGGCCUACCAAGGCGANGACGGGUCGCUGGUCUGAGAGGAUGGCCAGCCACAUUGGGGACUGAGAGACGGCCCAGACUCCUACGGGAGGCAGCAGUGGGGAAUCUUGCGCAAUGGCCGAAAGGCUGACGCAGCGACGCCGCGUGUGGGAUGAAGCAUUUCGGUGUGUAAACCACUGUUGCCCGGGACGAACAGCGCUUUUCGAGGCGCCUGACGGUACCGGGUGAGGAG
Molecule: ribosomal RNA, 458 nt
Filed under: uncultured bacterium
Lineage: Bacteria
Description: bacterial SSU rRNA
Rfam family: Bacterial small subunit ribosomal RNA
Source: RNAcentral